RNAcentral lists this ribosomal RNA (502 nucleotides) under uncultured bacterium. Its description in RNAcentral is "bacterial SSU rRNA". It matches the Rfam family "Bacterial small subunit ribosomal RNA", at positions 28 to 502 of the family's 1533-position model. The record is from RNAcentral.
GAUGAACGCUAGCGACAGGCCUAACACAUGCAAGUCGAGGGGCAUCGGGGUGUAGCAAUACGCUGCCGGCGACCGGCGGAUGGGUGAGUAACGCGUAUGCAACCUGCCUUCAGCAGGGGGAUAGCCCGUUGAAAGACGGAUUAAUACCCCGUAACACAGGGGCUCCGCAUGGAGAUUAUUGUUAAAGGGAUGCUUCCUUCGGGGAGUAUUCCGGCUGAAGAUGGGCAUGCGUUCCAUUAGGUAGUUGGUUGAGGUAACGGCUCACCAAGCCUGCGAUGGAUAGGGGUCCUGAGAGGGUGGUCCCCCACACUGGUACUGAGACACGGACCAGACUCCUACGGGAGGCAGCAGUGAGGAAUAUUGGUCAAUGGGCGCAAGCCUGAACCAGCCAUCCCGCGUGCAGGAAGACGGCCCUAUGGGUUGUAAACUGCUUUUCCAGGGAGAGAAACUUACGCACGUGUUGCGUGACUGACGGUACCCUGGGAAUAAGCAUCGGCUAACU